Molecule: long non-coding RNA, 300 nt
Filed under: Androctonus crassicauda
Lineage: Eukaryota; Metazoa; Arthropoda; Arachnida; Scorpiones; Buthidae
Source: RNAcentral
AUUUGUGAGUGUAACAGGAUGGCUAUACAGUUCGUACUUAUACUGUACUUACAAAUCAAUGAACGCAUUCUGCAGUGAUUUGGAGCUGGAUCUUUUUGAUUUUAUUCAUCUACAAUUCAUACUUCAACAAUAUCGAGUGGAUUAUUUCUCAACAUGGAUGAUGCUGGCUAUUUUUUCAGAUGAAAGCGUGAUUAAAGAUGAUUGGCAUACAUGUUAUUUUUUGAUGUAUAUUUUCUGGUCACAUGAUUCAAAACAGUUACCUCCAUAGAUAUUUUAAGUAAACAAAUUUUUUUUUUAAUA